Molecule: unclassified non-coding RNA, 235 nt
Filed under: Hevea brasiliensis (rubber tree)
Lineage: Eukaryota; Viridiplantae; Streptophyta; Magnoliopsida; Malpighiales; Euphorbiaceae
Source: RNAcentral
GCCACAUGAACAGAACUACCCUACUCAUGACCUGGAGUUAGCAGCAAUUAUUUCCGCACUGAAGAUAUGGAGGCAUUACUUGUAUGGUGAAAAGUGCUACAUUUACACAGACCACAAAAGCCUGAAAUACUUGCCAACCCAGAAGGAGCUCAAUCUUUGACAGAGGCAAUGGAUUGAGUUCCUAAAGGACUAUGAUUGUGUGAUAGAUUAUCAUCCUGGGAAGGCAAAUGUAGUU